GACGAACGCUGGCGGCGUGCUUAACACAUGCAAGUCGAACGGAAAGGCCCUGCUUUUGUGGGGUGCUCGAGUGGCGAACGGGUGAGUAACACGUGAGUAACCUGCCCUUGACUUUGGGAUAACUUCAGGAAACUGGGGCUAAUACCGGAUAGGAGCUCCUGCUGCAUGGUGGGGGUUGGAAAGUUUCGGCGGUUGGGGAUGGACUCGCGGCUUACCAGCUUGUUGGUGGGGUAGUGGCCUACCAAGGCUUUGACGGGUAGCCGGCCUGAGAGGGUGACCGGCCACAUUGGGACUGAGAUACGGCCCAGACUCCUACGGGAGGCAGCAGUGGGGAAUAUUGCACAAUGGGCGGAAGCCUGAUGCAGCAACGCCGCGUGCGGGAUGACGGCCUUCGGGUUGUAAACCGCUUUCGCCUGUGACGAAGCGUGAGUGACGGUAAUGGGUAAAGAAGCACCGGCUAACUACGUG
This 468-nucleotide ribosomal RNA is filed under the name uncultured bacterium. RNAcentral's name for it is "partial 16S ribosomal RNA". It matches the Rfam family "Bacterial small subunit ribosomal RNA", at positions 28 to 507 of the family's 1533-position model. The record is from RNAcentral.